AUGACGGCGCUUGCUGACCGGAAGUGGAUCACAUGCAUCAAGGAAAAUCCGACCGCUCAAGUCUUGGCUGACUAUGUGCGCGUCUGGAAUAUCACGGCACAAGUAAACCUCUCCCCAACUCAACCUGACGACAUCCGGUGGAAGUGGACGGCUGAUGGGCAAUACUCGGCCCGGACGACCUAUCAAAUGCUGUUUCAAGGGAGAAUCAGAACCAACCACAAUAUGCUAAUCUGGUCGUCGCGGACGCCUCCCAAGUGCCAAAUGCACGCUUGGCUUGCAAUCCAAGGGCGUUGCAAUACAGCAGAUCAGCUCGCGAAGAAGAACUGGCCUCACACCCCAACCUGCACUUUGUGCCAGCUGCAACCAGAGACUGCCCUACACCUUUUUGCUCAAUGCCAGUACACCCGCUUGCUAUGGCAGAUGAUCUUACAGCGGUUCCAUGCACAAAUCAACCCGCCAAGAGCCGACGAGCCCUCCCUUGAAGAUUGGUGGUACAGCUCAGUUCGAAGCCUCUCGAAGCAGGAAAGAAUGAAGGUCAACUGCCUCGUCAUUUGCGCCUGGUGGCACGUUUGGAAGGAGAGAAACGCCAGGAUUUUUGAGCACCGAGCCUCGGCGAUCACUGAGGUCUGCUCCCUGAUCAACGAGGAGCUCCGACUAUGGUGCACGGCCGGCCUCGUCGGAGCGAUGUGGAUGCCGCCGGACUAG
Molecule: ribosomal RNA, 705 nt
Filed under: Triticum aestivum (bread wheat)
Lineage: Eukaryota; Viridiplantae; Streptophyta; Magnoliopsida; Poales; Poaceae
Description: partial small subunit ribosomal RNA
Source: RNAcentral